RNAcentral lists this long non-coding RNA (8858 nucleotides) under Xyrichtys novacula (pearly razorfish). Lineage: Eukaryota; Metazoa; Chordata; Actinopteri; Labriformes; Labridae. The record is from RNAcentral.
CUGCUAAAUCCCCGUUUGGAUUUGCGGAGUGUACAAACAUGGACGAGUAACGCUAAGUAUAGCUGGGAGGAGGAAAGACAAAGUGUGAGGAAACAGGCUGGUUCAACUUCAUCCGAACACCCUAAGUGGGUCACAGAGAUGUCCCCACUUUCUUUCCAAAUAAAAGUAAUGAAAACUUUUUAGUGUACCCACAAUCCAUUACUACAACCCUCUCGAAUUCUCCUUUUUGUGUUUUCAUGAUGGUCACCAAAACUGAACCCCAACAUCCUUCCCACUGUUCAUAAGGCGACUACUUAAAGUCAUGGUUGACGUUUGGAGAGAUUGGUAGUUAUUAUGAACCUCGUUUCUAUGGCGAUCAUGGUCCUAUUGUGCGAUCUCCGCAAAGUGAAGAGAAAAAAGAACGGAAAAAAUCUGUUCACCCUAUCAGGUGCAGGGCUGCAAAAACACUGACCAAUGGGAGCCAUUCAUCCCAGAUAGCUCCUAUUGGUCAAUCUCCUGCUCCGCCUAUCCAUCCAAUCACCUCGCUGUAUUCGACACACCCCCCUCCGCAGUUCCGACUCCCCCCCCAUUUCCUGGCCCUUCUCGGAGAUCUGGGCGGCUAAAAGUAGCGACAGAAGAAAGGGCGGAGUCAAAGAGGAAACGUGAACAAGCGAGGAAUCUAACUGGAAUAAACAUCGGGUCAUCCUUUGAGCGGUCGCCGGCAGCCAGCGAUCACCUAGUUGCGUCAGGUCGCGGCUGUACAUAGACUUUGCAUUGGAAGUCGUUGCUCAAGACGCCGAGGUUGCGUUUGGUCUGAACGCGGCUUUAGUCAUGAAAAUCAAAAACAGUACGAUGGCGGGAAUGACGAUUUCACCCAUUCAUGACCUGCACUUUUCACGUGUUGACGUCAGAUGCCCGCCGGCCAAAUGACCAAUCAAUGUAAACUACAGAGACACGCAAAACACGUAGUUGAUGAUGAUAUCUUGUAGGUUCGUCAUGUAAAGUCUGUUUGUCCGUUUGCAAUAAUGACAGUGUGAGACCUAAACAGACCGAACAAACAAAAACACGGACCUCCAGACUUUCAGGUGUGAAAACACCUUUAGAUUCAGCCCUAAAAAUUUGCAUCAUAAUACAGACCCUGAGGUUUUCUUGACUUUUGGAGAGAGCCUCAUGUGGACAUCCAGGGAACUACAGUUUUGUGACUUGCCUUUAACACCUUUUCACUUCUAUAAAACUCCAAAAGAGCGCUCAGACAACAGAGAAUUUGCACCAUAUGACGCAUUUGUCAGAUUAAACAUUAAUUAUUAAAAAUACGGAUGAUUAAUGUCUGAUAUGUGAAUUAUUGAGAUAUAAACUUUGGCUGAAUUUUCCCCAAGGAAGUUUUUUCACAUCUCUGCUAAAAAAUCAGCAGGAAGAUAAAACCAGGAGUCUGUUAGGUGACGUGAUAAAACUCCUCAAAGUUUAUCGUGAAAAAGUUUUUGUACUAUUUUCCUUAUUUGACUGUUUUUGACAGUGAACGACAUGAAAUUCCAGUUUGUCCCCACACUCAGCCCUAACUCGAGAUCUGCAGUAGAAUAAUCAUCUCCCUCCGUGUCCUCUCUACCUUCACUGCCUCAGGUGGUGUGUUUAGAUCCUCUGGAUUAAUGAAGCGAAUACCGCUGGACUCGGCUCUUUUCCUCUUAUUUUUCCUCCGUCUUCAUUUAUUUUUCCACUCGCUCCUCCCCCUCCUGUCCUUCAUCCUCUCUUCCUCCUGAGCUGAUCCUUUGUAUUUUAUUUUAUCUUUUUUAUUUAUUCUCUCCCCUCGGGUCACUUGUGUUCUGCAGCUUUUCCAGCCUUCACUUUCUGUUUGGUGAACCUCCACAUCUUCGUCCCUCUCGCUGCCUGAGGCUCUGCAGCUGGGAAUGAAUAAGCACGGUGACCUUUGACCUACACUCACUAAUCAAACAUCCACCACGACAUAAAAAAUCACAUCUUCUGGAACUUACAAUAUACAUAAUUUAUAAGAGCGAAUUUAAAUGAAGGCAGCAGGACAUUUUUAAUGUCAAUGUAAUGAAAAAAAAACAGGCUUUCUGCCUAUAAAUACAGAUAUAUGCUGAACAUGAAGUCAUUCUCCAGCCAAACAACCAGCAGACAGUCAGAGAAAAAAUGUCCCCCACACUGUUUCUAUAGUCCACCCAAUGAGAAAACAAAGUAGGGCUGCAGUCAUCAAAUAUUUUAGUACAGUGACCAUACGUCCUCUUUUACCCGGACAUGUCCUCUUUUUUGGAUGCCAUACGGGUUUGUCAGGUGAAUUUUAUAAAACCCCUCAAAUGUCCGCGAUUUUGUACAUAAGUUUCAAUUUUGUGUCGCGUGGACUUCCUGAGUUAGAGGCCCAUAAAAGACACUCGAUCCCACCUGGAAAAAUGUCAAAAUUAAAGGUGGGGUAAUCAGGAUCUGAGAAAGUUCCAGUUUUUAGGAGAAAUCUUGAAUGUAAACUCCACCCCUCCCAACCAGUUUUCCCCUCAGCUCCUCCUCUCCCCUCCCUCUCUGCUCCAUCAAGCCCCGCCCACAAACAGACGUUCCUGCUCGCUCGUAUCGUUCCAAUUAAAUUCAGGUAUAAUGCAGAUAAAUACUUCAGAUAAUUACAAUGGGGGCCAGUCAAGGUGAAAGUAAAAAGCAUUGGUGCUACUGUAGAUGCCAACAGACUACCAGAUAUCAUUAUAUCUCCAAAUAUCAUAAAUAACUAAUAACUAUUGACUGAUAUUAAAAGCUUUAUUGUAUUUACACUACAAAAAAAGAUGCUUCUUUCUCGGAUUCCUGCCUACCCCACCUUUAACUUCGUGUGACUCCACCUCCGCAUAGUCGUGUCCUCUUUUUGGGGAUUCAGAAUGGUCACCCUAUUUUAGAAAUCAGGUAAUCUAUCAUUUAUUCUGGAGAUUCAAUUCUGGUCGAGACUAGACUCUAUUUACAAAGACGGGAUCAGAUCCUCUCCAAUCCCCUAAUCUUCAACCACAUGAGGGAAACACUUUACAGCAUUUGGAGGAGAGGAAGAACUUCCUUCAACAGGCAGAAACCUGAAGGACGACCAGACUGGUGUAAGACAGAUCAAGGUCUCUUUUGUUCAGGUCAUCUGUGAAGGCUUCAUUAAUGCUGAACAACAUCUCCAUGUGGCUCUGAAUGAAAAAAACUGAACCACAUUUUUCCUCCCUGAAGAGUCAGAUAGUCGGUGUAUCUCUCAGUCUGAAUUUACUGAUUAGCCUUCAGCUCUCCUGUUAAAUAUCAGGAUUCAGCCGCUCACGUCCGUCUGAAUUAAGGUCACUUUUUAAUUCAUUCUGUUGCUUUUGGCCAAAUUCUGCGGUAAAAAGAUAAGUUCCCCCUGUUUUAUUUCUUUAUUUCUCAAAACUUUAAUUCUGUCUUUUCUUAUCUCAUUUUUCCUUCUUUUUUAAUUUCAUGUACAGAGCUCCACUCUUCCGUGUUCGUCCACGGCUGUGUCCGGGUUCAGGAGGGGCUCUGAAUACUGUAACUGCAGCAGGUUGGAGUUUGUAUGUUAACAGAUAAAGUACAUAAUCUGAAUGUGUGUGUUUGGUGUGUGUGUGUGUGAGUGUGUGUGUGUGUGUUUGGCAGGUAGUGGGUAGUUAUCAGCUCAGUCCAGCUGCUUCAUGCUCACUAAGCUCUUUACCAGCCAACAAACACACACACAUUCAUCCCUCCACUCUCUCACACAUACACCUCCACCUCCUUCUCUCCCUCCAUCACCGGUUUGACAUCCAAAUUUACAGAAACGCUCACAGGUAGAAAAGUUGCUGUUGUUCGACUCUGAUCUGAACCUGCGGGCAAAAAAGAAGAAGACGGUCGAUAAUGAAAAGACGCGGUGGAGUAACAGUCGUGGUUUACAGCAGCAGGGAUCAGAAAAAUUCAGGCAUUCGUGAUCUUAAACUCCUGAAAAGUCCAGAUGUUGCUAAAUCAACCAGGUACAUCAAAAACAAAUGAACACUGUUGAAACCGUUUUAAUAUUUCCAAUAGUGUUGUGUCGUUCACGAAUGAUUCAAGAUCUGAAAAGCUAAUGGGAUCGUCUUCUACUCCAGAUUUAGGGUUUUGAUUGUCAAUAAAAUGUCCAAAUGUAAAGUAAGAGUGAGAAAACAGCCCUGAGGUGAGUCUGCAGAGACAUGCUGUUAACUUUAACUCCUCGGUGAAAAGUUCAGGGUCCGACUGAGGCCGGGGAGUCUUGGUCCACCUGAAGCUGGCGGUCACUUUGGCUGAAUGGUUUCUAAACCAAUCAAAGAGUUCACACUUCUAUUGAAGCUCUACGUAAAGGUGUGUGUGCGGUCCAAACACACUCCAACGAGUAACGAUCGUGAAUUCAAGAACUACAAAAACCACGAGUCUGAAGUCCGGGUGAUUUUUCCAGGAGGAGCGAAUUGUCCGUGUGAAGAGUGUGAGGAAGAACGUCGACAACCUCAGACUCAGUCAUGUGAAUAAAAGGUUUAUUUUUAUUUACUGAGUGUGUGUGUGUGUGUGCAUGUGUGUGUGUGUGUGUGUGUGUGCUGGCAAUCCACAGAGGAACCUUCGACUUUCUAACACACUGUAUUCCCCGUCUCUGUCUCUCUCUCUCUCUCUCUCUCUAUUCUCCAGUGUGUGUUGCGGUGUGUUUAUGUUCCCAGAGCAGAUUUUCUUUCCGCAUCAUUCAACUCCCCUACAACCAUCAACACACACACACACACACACACACACACACACACACACACACACACACAAGUAGGAAUCUGGGAAGAACCUGGUAACUCUGGUUUUGCUCUUAAACUCACAUAUGAGCAGACGUGGAACAUUUAGGUCAGAAUAAUUAACUCCACCUCCUCGUUACUGAUUCAUUUUCCAUUAAUCAGUGGAUCAGGUAUAGUCCGGAUAGAUCCUUGACCAACCUGGACCCGUUUGACCACUAAUGGCUAUUUUUCUGGCGCAGGAAUCAAGUGAACCGUCACUCUCUUUGGACUGCACCACCGGACUUUAAAGCCUCAUCAAACCAAAGCUAGAAGACAGAACGGGCCGGACUUGUGUGGUUUAAAAACAGGGACUGAAGUCUGAACAGGUGAACACAUCGAACAGGGAGCGGGGAGGGUCAAAAGUUCAAGAAAAGAGGUCAAGAUAUGGUCCAGGAAGUAAGGGUUCACAUGUUUUUACCUCACAUUGUUCCCGGUUCAGCCCCCGUCCAGCAGCUGUUCAUCAUCCUCCCGAGCGGUCAUCUCGCCCAAGGCUUCAAACCUGCAGGAGAGCGAAGUGAAUCUGCAACUUAAAAGCCAAACAGCUCAAUCUUUUGUCAGAAAUAUUUACCUGUUUUUACGUAUUUUAAUUUGAGUCGGUUAAAAGUCUUCAGGUUGUGCUCUGAAAUGGACAUCAGCGGCUCGGUUCACCCUAAAGACAGAAACGUAAACCAAAGACGUAGAGGAGAUUGAAAUAUGUUAAUGCCGCCUGAUUAAUCGACGGGAUUAAACUCAUAUCAAAGACGUGAGAUGGCUCUCACACAGAUCCAGUAAAUGACGGACUGCUUCUUUAACUUCCUCCUAGAUUAAAGAUUUUCUCUCUUUUUUUCUUAUCUCUGUUCUGCCUGAAAUCCAGUUCCAACAAAUCUGAAGAAUUAAGAUUACAAAUCAUCCAGCUGGACCUAACCUUGGUAACUAGCAGCCCGAGGCCGCAGAGAUUUACUGAGUCGAACUGUCAGAUAAAAAAAAACAUUCAGCCGUCUCUUUUUUUCUUCCUGGACCCUCCUUCUGAAAUCAUCUCUUCAUUUGCGGGAUAUCGAGGGAUACAGUGACAGAUUCUGACUCCUGACCUCCUUUCAGGCAGAUCAUCACACUGCCGAUCUGGGAAAUAAGGGCGUCUCUGCUUCCACGCCGCUUUGGAUUGACUCCGCUGUGAGAGUCCCUCAGAAGGUGGUCUGUGUUUUUAAUCCCAAAUCAUCUGAGUCAGCUGAGGUUCAGGAUUAUAAAUAUUUGUGCUUCACAUUCUGCAGGGAUUACAACAGCAUAGCUCUGUAGGAGAAGAGUCCUGCUGAGAAACCAGACUGAUGCGGUCCAGAACGGCUGCAAUCUUUCGUCUUCCGCCAAUUCCAACCGGAUCCAUUUGUGAGGCAAAUUUCAUGGCGGAUUGCGGACAGCAGAAUCCCGAGAACUCACAAGAACCCGCAGAUUCACGUGCAAUCAUGCGAUAACAAGUUGUCUUAAGCCACAUAAUCUACCCAUAUAAUCAGUAGAAUGUGAAACUAUCUGUAACUGCAGUGCACUACAGGAAGUGUUGGGGGCAGUAUCGCUCGCUGGAAACCGAGAAGAAGAAUGUACAAAUUAUGGCCGAACAAACAAACAAAGAGGCUUAAAAACUCUGACCCAAAGUUUCCGAAGUUUGGAAACAUUUCACUGAAAAUAAACCAGCGACACACAUUAAUUGCAGUCUCAAUGAAGCUCAACUCUCAUCCUAUGGCAGCACAUCCGCCAAUUCCUACUGGAUCCGUUUGUGAGGCAAAUUUCUUGGUGGAUUACGGAAUCGCAAGAACUCACAAGAAUCCGCGAUAACAAGUUGUCUUUAGCCACACAGGCUAACCAUAUAAGCAGUAGAUUGUGUCCUUCCAGAGGAGGAAAUCUACUUCUCGACUUCUAGAAUCAGCAUCUCCACAUCCAUGGUGUCAUCAGGGUGAAAUGGGGUCUAAAAACCUUUCACUUGUCUGGAAAAAAAAGAACUCUUUGACACGUUAACUUGAAUGGUUACGAUCAGCUACGAUCGGCGGAUACGGCCUUUUCGGAUGCGAUGGAAAUUGGGGGUAACAGGAUUGGGAUUUUAAACCAAACCAUGGUGGCCUCAUACCUCCACCUUUCUUUUGUUUUGUGGACUGUUGUCAGAAGCUUUCAUUGGAUAUCUGGGACUACGGGGUCUCCUGGGUUUGCUUUUCAGGUUGAAAUUAGGGAUCAUUAGACUCACGUCCCUGAUUGACAUCGUUUCAUGGACAUAUUCAGGUCUCUCAGAAGAUAUGGUGGUCUCCUUCUGGUGCUAUCUUCUGGACGGUUGGUACGAGGGAUUCAUGGUUUGAGAGAAACGAUCAUCACCAAGAAAAAGAAACCAUGAAAACGAUCUUUAACAGUUUCUGCUUUUUCUAACUUCUCCUUGUGACUCAGUGUUGUUAAAAUCUCUUUAACGGAGAGAAGCUCAUCUUUCUCGGCUGAAAACAAAUCCUCUCUAAUCUUACAUCACCGAAAAACAGACGUCUCUUUGCAGUUUCUCGUGUCCUGCGUUGUCUUGGCGAGGAUUCCUCGGCUUAUCCACGCUUCUUCUCCUCCUCCUCCUGGUCCAGACUUACAUAGGAUGAGGAGGAAAUGAUGAAUGAAAGCUUUGAUAGCCGUUUGGAAGCAGAUUCAGGAGGGUGGUCUUGUGUUGAUUGGCUGAAAUAAAGCAAUAAAGCAAUAAAGCACAUGUUGCCUUUUAUUCACAUCUGCAAAUAAUUCCCUGGAUUAGAGUCGGAAAAUUUGAGCCGAACGCGGAAAUGGUGGGUAAAACUCGUGAAUCCUGUGAGCUGUGAAUAAAGUUUUUUCUUUAUUGAAACAUUUGGACGAGGCGCGGUGACAGACACCGGUCCCUGAGGAUUAUGUCACAGCUCUGCAGAGUCCUGGGAGUCUCUGAGCAGAUUAGGAAUCAGGCUGAAAAUAAGCAGGAGAGCAGCUGGAGGGGUGACGAGAGUGAGAGUGAGCGAGUGAGUGUGCACAUGUCGGUGCAGAUGAGGCACCGAGGGAGUGAGUGAGUCCGCACUCAGGGGGUCAAGUUCUCUGUCCGUCAGUUUGUCAAUCAAUCAAAUAUCAUCAUCAAACCAGACGUCAUACAGGUGAGGAGAAGACGUCUCAACCAGGUCGAGGAAAAUGCUGGAAAUUCCUCACAGUAGCUUUAAAACACAUAAGGGACCGUCUCACUCCUGUUUGUGUGUUGGCUUCUUUUUAACAUCUCCCUCCUGUGUUUUUAAAGCUAAAGAAACCAUCUCAAUUAAAGGGGAGAGAGAGACAAAAACACAUAUUUAUCAUAAUUCCAAGAAAAUAAUACCAAAUGUGACGGACAGAAGUAGGAAUAAAAAACUAACAUACCUCGCUAAUGAUUUACGCCCCAUUAGCCUUGUGCUAACGUGUUUUGUCAAUUGUUUAGGGAGACAGCUAGAACUGUAGUUUGACUUAAAGGUGGGGUAGUCAGGAUCUGAGGAAGUUCCAGUUUUUAGGAGAAAUCUUGAAUAUAACCUCUACCCCUCCCAACCAGUUUUCCCCUCAGCUCCUCCUCUCCCCUCCCUCUCUGCUCCAUCAAGCCCCGCCCACAAACAGGCGCUCCUGCUCGCUCGUAUCGUUCCAAUUAAAUUCAGGUAUAAUGCAGAUAAAUACUUCAGAUAAUUACAAAUGGGGCCCAGUCAAGGUGAAAGUAAAAAGCAUUGGUGCUACUGUAGAUGCCAACAGACUACCAGCAAACACAAUGUUUGCAGGACUUCUACAACUAGGAUAAAGUGACAUAGUCCAGGACCCGAGGUCAACAGUUUAGCGGCGCUACAACACGCUACAGCAGGUCCGUUUGACAAGAAACACUUCUGUUACAGACACUUGGCUUACUUUGUUAAAGCGGUUUACCUGUCCAGCAGAAAGGUUACAGGGUCACCAAGAUCCCCAAGCGUCCCCCAUCGUUUAUGUUGACCCGGCUUUUUAGCUCUUGUCCAGUCUACCUCCUUUUUAAGCGCCUGUUAUUCCUCCAGAGUCUCCGGUAUUUACUUUGUUUUCUUGCUUGUGUCGGCAGUCAUGGCCAAAGGAGGAUUCAGACAAUUUUCCGAACUUUCUGGUUGGUUUCUACUGUCCGAUAUUGUAGCACGCUAACUUUGUUUGGGCUCGUGAACG